CCUACGGGUGGCAGCAGUGGGGAAUAUUGGGCAAUGGGCGAAAGCCUGACCCAGCCAAGUAGCGUGAAGGAUGACUGCCCUACGGGUUGUAAACUUCUUUUAUCAAGGAAUAAAGUGAGGCACGUGUGCCUUUUUGUAUGUACUUUAUGAAUAAGGAUCGGCUAACUCCGUGCCCGCAGCCGCGGUAAUACGGAGGAACCGAGCGUUAUCCGGAGUUAUUGGGGUUAAAGGGAGCGUAGAUGGGUUGUUAAGUCAGUUGUGAAAGUUUGCGGCUCAACCGUAAAAUUGCAAUUGAUACUGGCAGUCUUGAGUACAGUUGAGGUAGGCGGAAUGCGUGGUGUAGCGGUGAAAUGCUUAGAUAUCACGAAGAACUCCGAUUGCGAAGGCAGCUUACUAAACUGCCACUGACAUUGAUGCUCGAAAGUGUGGGUAUCAAACAGGAUUAGAUACCCCUGUAGUC
RNAcentral lists this ribosomal RNA (460 nucleotides) under uncultured bacterium. Its description in RNAcentral is "partial 16S ribosomal RNA". It matches the Rfam family "Bacterial small subunit ribosomal RNA", at positions 338 to 795 of the family's 1533-position model. The record is from RNAcentral.